RNAcentral lists this ribosomal RNA (829 nucleotides) under uncultured bacterium. Its description in RNAcentral is "bacterial SSU rRNA". It matches the Rfam family "Bacterial small subunit ribosomal RNA", at positions 31 to 846 of the family's 1533-position model. The record is from RNAcentral.
GAACGCUGGCGGCAUGCCUUACACAUGCAAGUCGAACGGCAGCACGGGAGGGGUAACUCUUUUGGUGGCGAGUGGCGAACGGGUGAGUAAUAUAUCGGAACGUACCCAAGAGUGGGGGACAACGCAGCGAAAGUUGCGCUAAUACCGCAUACGAUCUACGGAAGAAAGUGGGGGACCUGUAACAGGGCCUCACGCUCGUGGAGCGGCCGAUAUCUGAUUAGCUAGUUGGUGAGGUAAAAGCUCACCAAGGCAGUGAUCAGUAGCUGGUCUGAGAGGACGACCAGCCACACUGGAACUGAGACACGGUCCAGACUCCUACGGGAGGCAGCAGUGGGGAAUUUUGGACAAUGGGCGCAAGCCUGAUCCAGCAAUGCCGCGUGAGUGAAGAAGGCCUUCGGGUUGUAAAGCUCUUUUGUCAGGGAAGAAACGGUGGUUUCUAAUACGGAUCACUAAUGACGGUACCUGAAGAAUAAGCACCGGCUAACUACGUGCCAGCAGCCGCGGUAAUACGUAGGGUGCAAGCGUUAAUCGGAAUUACUGGGCGUAAAGCGUGCGCAGGCGGUUCUGUAAGUCAGAUGUGAAAUCCCUGGGCUUAACCUGGGAAUGGCAUUUGAGACUGCAAGGCUAGAGUGUGUCAGAGGGGGGUAGAAUUCCACGUGUAGCAGUGAAAUGCGUAGAGAUGUGGAGGAAUACCGAUGGCGAAGGCAGCCCCCUGGGAUAACACUGACGCUCAUGCACGAAAGCGUGGGGAGCAAACAGGAUUAGAUACCCUGGUAGUCCACGCCCUAAACGAUGUCUACUAGUUGUCGGGACUUAAUUGUCUUGGUAA